This 1005-nucleotide small RNA is filed under the name Pongo abelii (Sumatran orangutan). RNAcentral describes it as "processed transcript". Lineage: Eukaryota; Metazoa; Chordata; Mammalia; Primates; Hominidae. The record is from RNAcentral.
GUUAACCCAGGGAAGGCAGUGGCAAGAUGGCGUCCCUGGAUCGGGUGAAGGUACUGGUGUUGGGAGACUCAGAGAUAAAAAAGAUGCAUAAGAACCCUCAAGGAACUUAAAAUUAAGGGAGUGGUUCCAAGAUGGCCGAUUAGGAAUAGCUCCAGUCUACAGCUCCCAGCGUGAGCGACGCAGAAGACGGGUGAUUUCUGCAUUUCUAACGAGGUGUUGGGAAAUCUUCAUUAGUCCAUCUCCUAUGCCAAAAUCAAGUGCUGGGAAAUCCAUCAUGGACCGUGGGCUGCUCAGUGGAUGUCAGAGUUCAUGAUUACAAAGAAGGAACCCCAGAAGAGAAGACCUACUACAUAGAAUUGUGGGAUGUUGGAGGCUCUGUGGGCAGUGCCAGCAGCGUGAAAAGCACAAGAGCAGUGUUCUACAACUCUGUAAAUGGUAUUAUUUUCGUACAUGACUUAACAAAUAAGAAGUCCUCCCAAAACUUGCGUCGUUGGUCAUUGGAAGCUCUGAACAGGGAUUUGGUGCCAACUGGAGUCUUGGUGACAAAUGGGGAUUAUGAUCGAGAACAGUUUGCUGAUAACCAAAUACCGCUGUUGGUAAUAGGGACUAAACUGGACCAGAUUCAUGAAACAAAGCGCCAUGAAGUUUUAACUAGGACUGCUUUCCUGGCUGAGGAUUUCAAUCCAGAAGAAAUUAAUUUGGACUGCACAAAUCCACGGUACUUAGCUGCAGGUUCUUCCAAUGCUGUCAAGCUCAGUAGGUUUUUUGAUAAGGUCAUAGAGAAGAGAUACUUUUUAAGAGAAGGUAAUCAGAUUCCAGGCUUUCCUGAUCGGAAAAGAUUUGGGGCAGGAACAUUAAAGAGCCUUCAUUAUGACUGAAUUACACUCAUCCUUUGGAAGAGUGAGCAAGCAGUGGCAGUUUUUCACAGCUCCUCUUGCUGUGUUCAAUUAUUACCAUCACAGCCUUUUAACAAAAUCAUCUUAAAAUGCUACCCUUCAGCCUUAC